Non-coding RNA from Sus scrofa (pig), 1907 nucleotides. Lineage: Eukaryota; Metazoa; Chordata; Mammalia; Artiodactyla; Suidae. The record is from RefSeq and is a predicted model, not a curated record.
AAUGAAGCCAGGGAUCACACCCACAUCACCAUGGAUACUAGUCGUGUUUAUUUCCUCUGAGCUGCAACAAGAACUCCCCAGAAACACAAUUUUCCAUUGAGUACCAGCUAUCUUUUCUCUUUCAAAAGCAGUUCCUUGGACCUUCUACCACGUAACUCUUCCUGUCUCUCUCCUCUUUCCUCCCCUCUCCCUUUUGCAAGGUACAACUCACUGAUUUUUUAUACACACAGGUUGUACAACAGAAUAUCUCCAUCUCUCCCCCGAAGCUCUUCCGCCCGCCCACUUCCAUUUCUAUCUCCUCCCUUUCCGGCCUCAGAAGAGGUGCCCUCGACGGAUGAGGGGAUGAGGGAACUCCAGCUCCUCGGAGACGUUGCUCCUGUGUUUCUGUCACCACCUCCUGCCCACCCACCCAGCAUGAGCAACCUGCGGGACUACUGAGCUCAUGAAUAAACCUGAAAAGGAUGCGAGGCUGGAGAUGGGAAGAGGUGGCUGAGAAUGAAUCAGCGGGCCUGGCUUUUUCCAGCACUUGUCACUACAACCCUGGGAUUAGUUCACCACUCAGCAUGAGGACUCGGGGCUGGACCAUGUGUGACGUGACACUGAACAAUUCCCAUCCGAGGCAACAGAGCAGGAAUGCUGCCUGGCCCACCGUGCAACAAAAAUGUAUGAAAUGGCAUUAGCAGAAAAACAAGAUUUCUGGGUCUUAUCACAGAAAGGCUUUUUUCCCCUCCUAGAUGAAUGUUCACCUCUAAUUGAACAACUGUAACUCCCUUUAUUUCUACCUGAAAGUGGCUUUUACAACUCAUAAUUAGGGGCAGGAUCUUUAUAAUCCCAUCAUGAUGGAAUGUCUUUUUAGCGCCUGAUUGCUGUUCAUUUACAGGAUAUUUUUUUUUUUCCGGUGAUUAAUUGGACCACAAUCCAUUUACAUGUCCUGAACAUGCAUUUUAAGUCUAUACAGAAAGAACUCCGUUUACCCACUUUCUAAAACACGUUCUAGAAGGCUGGCAUCCACCAUCCUUAUAAACCUAACACUACAUGAGACCUGAUUUAUACUCGAGAGGGAAAUCACAGCAGGGAACAUAGCUAAAACCCAAUCAGGCAUUCUCUAAACUAAUAUACGUUGUUUUUAAGAGAGAAAGAAAUUACACAGUAUCAUAAUUUCCAAAAGUUGACACCUCUUCAUUAAAACAGAUAGAGUAGAAAAGUUCUACAAGAGCUCAAAUUUCGAGUUUUCCCCAAGAGAACAGUGGGUUUCAGGGAGGUGGGGAUUAUAUUAUGAUUAUAUUUAUAUUAUAUUAUAUUAUGAUUAUACUUCUGAUUAUCUUCACAGUCGGGCUGGAGGUGUGGGGAGGCUUAUGGGUUAAUUUGCUUAAAAUUCCUGACUGAUUGUAUGGGGAGACCAUUAUCUAUCCUCCUCACAGGCUGUUAGAUUUGGAAGACCGUAAAUGCUACGGAUCCUGCAAUUCAUUUAACAGCUACGCGUCUUAGCUCUUUCCUGUGCUAAGCUCAGGUGGAAAAUUAUCAAAUGAUACAAAAUAGCAAUAUAAACAUCUUUUUCCAUCUAAAUAGAUAUUUGAGUUUUGUAUACUCUGCUUUUUUUAGAUUGCUGUGGACUUUCACAACAGGCUUAGAUCAGCCUUCCAUAUGGAAUUAGCCUUAUGUUCCACACAAAGAUUUUAUAAUGUCUUUUCAUUCAAUUCUUAUGCAUAUGGACACUAACCAGGCAAAUUAGUCCUGAGGCUAACCUGGUACUAUUGAACCUUAGCUCUCUAGUUUUCCUUCACAGUUACUCUCAGGCACCCCACAAACUCCUCCAAUCUCUGGAUAAUUUCAGGGCUCCAGGAGCCUUUAAAAAAUAGGUUGAUAACCUAGCAGGACUUCCAACUGUCAAAUCCUUCAAAUUUCUU